GGGGAUGUAGCUUAGUUAGCAGAGUGCUUGCCUUACAUUCACAAGGCGCUGGGUUCAAUCCCCAGCAUCACCA
This 73-nucleotide transfer RNA is filed under the name Ictidomys tridecemlineatus (thirteen-lined ground squirrel). Its description in RNAcentral is "Spermophilus tridecemlineatus (thirteen-lined ground squirrel) tRNA". It matches the Rfam family "tRNA". Rfam says of the family: Transfer RNA (tRNA) molecules are approximately 80 nucleotides in length. Their secondary structure includes four short double-helical elements and three loops (D, anti-codon, and T loops). Lineage: Eukaryota; Metazoa; Chordata; Mammalia; Rodentia; Sciuridae. The record is from Rfam by way of RNAcentral.